Molecule: long non-coding RNA, 2761 nt
Filed under: Gossypium raimondii (Peruvian cotton)
Lineage: Eukaryota; Viridiplantae; Streptophyta; Magnoliopsida; Malvales; Malvaceae
Description: long non-coding RNA (GRAI_LNC009229)
Source: RNAcentral
AAGGGUAAUAAAAGCUUGUUUGACAUUGUUGUGUAAGAGGUAUUGACUAAGGUGAGUGGUUUGACACACUACAUUUAAACUCCAGUACAUAGACUAAGGUAACAUAUGCGAAUCCCUACUUAUGGUAUGCGAACGUUGACUUCUUCCUUAUGCAAAUCCUUGCAAUUUUGGUUGAAUCGUUGAGUAUAUUCAUUGAACAAUUUUAAUGGUGCAAAAUGCAUGAAUUUAUAAUAUAUAUACAUGAGUUUAUUUUGUAUACAAUAUAAAUAUAUUGGGGGUUAUAUAUGAUAUAUAUAAAUAGGGGGAGCUGGUAAAAUAUAUGCGUGAGAUUGGAAUCAUAUAAUAUAUACGAGUGGGGUUCGUUGGUGUAAACAAAUACAUAUAUAUGUGUGCUUUGGGGCUAUAUAAGUAAUGUAUGUGUUAUAUAUAUUAUAUAUGUGGGUUGUACUAUAUAUAUACACGUGGGUGGUUAUGCAUAUUAUAUAUAUAUAUGCAUGACUUUAUCUUAUAUAAUAAAUAUGCAUGGCUUUAUUUUACAUAAUAUAUAUUAACGAAUUUUGGUAUUAUAUAUAAUAUAUAUGCAUGGUUAGUAUAUAUAUAAUUAAGGGAAUUGUUUUAUAUAAUAUAUAAAUUUGUGAGAAUUUCAAUGUAUGCUUAAAAUUUGAAGUGAUAAAGGUCAUUAAAUAAAUAUGUAUAUAUAUAAUAACUAUUCGUAUAUUAUUUUGUAAUAUUUAUGGAUGAAUAUAUGAAUAAAUAAUAUAAUGUGGACUCCUAUAACAUGCAAAUUUGAUCGAUAAUGCAUAAAUAUGCAUGCACGAAUCCGUAAGUAAAUUAUGAGAUUUAUGAUAUAGAGAGCCAAUUAUAUUUGUGUAUUGUGUUAUAUUGUGAACAAUGUUAACUUGGCGAAUUAUAUUAUUAUGACAAACUGUGUUAAUUUGGUAAUCUGUAUUAAUAUGGCGAACUACAUUAAAUUUCCAAACUAUGCAUUGUGAGAUUUUAAGUUGCAUUGUAUGUAAGCUAAGGUAUUGCGUGUCCUAUGCUAAAUAAAACAUGCGAACAAUGAUUUAUGUGAGCUAUGUCAUGAAAUUUGGAGAGUCACUUCGGUGGCUAAUGUGACGUUCGAAAUUUGGGUCGGACCGUCCCAACUGAGUUUGGGGCAUCACAAUGGUAUUUCAUAUGCCAAGUCUUUAAAUCAGGUCAUCGAUUGAUAUCAAUAACUUUUUGUACUAAUUUAAGGGUGUCCUCGCCUCAACCCUUCCAGUUUCUUAGUGGUUGGCUACUCCAUAAAGAAUUCAGUUUUAUGGUAAAUGAGAACUGGUCAAGUGGAGGUUUUUUGGCGGAGUUAGUUUUGAAUUUUUUCGAGGCAACAAGAAAGUGGAAUAAAGAAGUGUACGGGAAUGUUGUGUAUAUGAAAAUAAAGCUCAUGAAUAGAAUUGAUGGCAUUGAGCGACUUUAGAAAAGUUUCGAUAUGCUAAACUUAUUAAGAUUGAGAAUGACCUACAAACUAAACUAGAAAGUAUCCUGAACAGAGAGGAGAGCCUUUGGAGAUAAAAAUCCCUAAAGGAUUAGCUUCAAUUAAGGGACUAGAACACAGAUUUUUUCAUUGUAUAGCCAAUUCUCGAAGGCGGAUGAAUGAGAUCAAGGCUUUGAAGCUUUCUAAUGGUGAAUGGUGUUACGAUGAAGAGAAACUCUAAGGAGAGAAGCUAUUUUAUUCUUUUAAAAUAUCUAUACAGUGGAGGCGCAUACAUCGAGAUUGUUUUCUGUUCAAAUGAAAUUUCCUUUUAUUGAGACGUCUUUAUUGAAUUAUAUUGUGAGGAAUCUCACUAGUCAAGAAUUUUGGUAUGCCUUGCUUAAGAUGGCACCGCUCAAAGCUUCGGGAGUGGAUGGGCUACAUGCGCAGUUCUAUUAAAGUCAGUGGAGUAUAGUUGGUGAAUCACUUGUAUCCAUAGUCCUAAAGGUUUUUGAGGGAGGUAACGUCGAUCAUUUUCUUAACAGGACUUUGAUAAUGCUUAUCUCUAAAGUGAGGUCGCCGAAACUUAUCUCUCAAUUUAGGCCGAUUAGCCUAUGUACAAUUCCAUAUAAGGUUCUUUCAAAGGUGUUGGUGAACUGACUAAAGCCUGUUAUGCCAAUCUCAAUUGAUGCUAAUCAAACUAGUUUUGUGAGGGUUCAUAAUAUAAUGGAUAAUGUUGGAUGGCAGUGAAAAUUGAUAUGGAGAAAGAGUAUGAUAGAUUGAGAUGGGAUUUUAUUGAGGAAACACUUGUUAAUGCGUAGCUUCCUGCAAAUUUAGUCAAAAUUAUAAUGAGUUAGGUGACCUCUGCGUUGAUGUAGAUCCUAUAGAAUGGUUGCUUCACAGAUGAGUUCAUUCCUUCUAGAGGGGUUAGAUAGGGUGAUCCCAUCUCUCCAUACCUAUUUGUUUUAACCAUGGAGAAGCUAGGACAUGCGAUAAAUAUGUAUGUUUCUAACUGCAAAUAGACCUAUUUGGUUGGGGAGAAGUGGUCCUCCCAUUUCUCAUCCGUUUUUUUUUGCAGAUGACCUUGUAUUAUUUGGGGAAGCGAAUAAGGAUGCAACCGACUCUAGGGAAUCUGUAUUGGAGCAGUUUUGUAAUUUUUCGGGCCAUAAAGUGACUGCUGGGAAGUUUAAAAUUUAUUUCUCGACAAAUACGGAGGAAUCAGUUAAGGGGAUGAUUAAUGAGCAAUUGAGGUUUCAAGACGUAGAUGAUCUCGACAAUUAUUUGGUAGUGCCUCUAUUCCAUCAUAGAGUC